Arachis duranensis is the source of this 3493-nucleotide long non-coding RNA. RefSeq lists it as uncharacterized. Lineage: Eukaryota; Viridiplantae; Streptophyta; Magnoliopsida; Fabales; Fabaceae. The record is from RefSeq and is a predicted model, not a curated record. The transcript is spliced from 5 exons.
AAUUUCAUUAACCCCCUUCCCUCUUAUAUUCAAUUUACAUCCAAUAUACAAAACUAAAUCAGAUUUCAAAGUAAUGCAGCAUGAAUUAUUCAUUUUUCCUUUAGUAUUUGAAGUCCUGGCUUUUGUAUUUUCAGAGUAAUUUAGGAACUAAGGCAAAAAAAGUUCUUCCUGUGUAGCUAUUGUGGAAGGUUUGCAUCCACCCACUCUAUUGUGUCUUUAUUAGUUCUCUUUUUGUUCAAUUGCUUAAAUUUGUUCUUUGCUUUUCCUUAUUAUUAUUCUACUGCUUAUUAUUACCUUAUCCCUCCUCCUUCCUCUCAAGUUUGGCUAUGUUCUUCACUCUUCAGGGAGGUAGUUUCAAUUCUCGAUUUUUGGGUCAUUUCCUCUUCCUCUUCAGUCCGUUUCUCGGUUCACUGAUACUAUUUUCCAAUUUCUUUUUCUUCUUCAAUUCUUUUUGUUCCUAAUCUCCCCUGAAGGUGGAGAUUAUAGAGUUUGAAGGCAGUUGAUGUCACUGUACCUGAUGGCUCCAACCUUCAGCGAAGUCGUCGAGGUGGAAGGGAUGGCAGCGGUGGUGGUAAAGGUUACAAAGGUUGAAGCGGUGGCGACGGCGGCCAUGGUGGUGGAGGAGUCUAAGGCAGCAUGGCUCUGACUGGUCGCCGUGGAGUUUAUCACAGUGGUGAAUAAGGGGGAGGAUGUGAUGACAGUCGUGCAUGCUAAAGCACAUUGUGGAAUGGGUCAAGGUAAGCAACCAGGGAGGAGGCGGAUGCAGAGGCCGGUUCCGCAGCGGCGUUUGUGCCUGCGGCAGAUGCUACAACCAUAGGCAUCUGUGGGCAUUUUGCAACAGGCUGCCCAACGUUAAUCGCGCAUACCCUUCCAGUUUCACUUAAUAACGUUGGAGGUGUAUUCGUGGGAGCCUGUUCUGUAUUAAUGGGAAACUUUUGGGAUGCUCAUAGUACUGAAACUCUGUUGGAGUCAGAUAUAUCGGUUGAAAGCAAUCUUUUCUGAUUGGAAUUGUCCAUGACUCCUUUAAAAGAAGAGGUUAGUUUAGUAAUUUUAUAUCCGGUGGGUUCCAAGUUUGGUAGUUUUGAUGGAAUUAUUGAUGCUCUUCAUGCUUCGUUGCAAAGGCUUAGGAUUUAGAAUUUUCUGGAUAGAAAUGUAAUUUAGAAUUGCAUAUCAAUUCUCCUAUCAAUUCUGUAUAAUUUAUCAGACCAGACUAUUAUUUUAUUUGUAUUUACUUGAUAGAAAAAUACAAAUCUUUCCUAAAAAAGUUUCAGUAUAUAUGUUACUCUAUCAUAGUUGUACCAAUAAGAUGUGGGCUGGGAGGAUGAUUUUCUCGCUUUCUCACUCAUCAGUUAGUGUUUGUGAUAGCUUUAUGGUUCGUAAUGCAUUUUUGUGUAUAACUGCUUUUGUAUGCACAACGCCCACCUCACUUCUGCUUCAAAACAGUUGUUCCAUUUGUUCUUAUAAGCUUCAAAAGAGCCAAAGAUAAUCAUCAAUUGUUGAUACAAAAUUACUCACCUGAAGCUGCUUUUUACAUGGAUACUAGCACUUAGUUUUAUUUAAUCUUUCUUUUUUUUGGGUAAAUAAAAUGAAAUUAAUAUUAUUAUUGUUAUUAUAAGUACUAUCUUAUGAUUCAUGUCUUUUAGUUUUAUAUAAUGUGUUUAAUAUCCCAGCAACAUGGAUUGAAGACCAAAUGCAUUAGAUGAAUCUGAAAUUUUUACAAGGGUAUACCAUAUUUGAAGCUUGCUAAUGAGGGGUUUGUUUGCUAUUGGUAAUGGAAGCAAGAAGUUAAGGAAUCUAAUACUAAGUCACAAGGGUUUGGAAGCAAUUGCUAUCGGAUGCAAGGAACUUACACAUCUUGAAGUCAAUGGAUGUCACAACAUUCGAGAUUUGGGGCUAGAAUCCAUUGGAAGAUGUUGCAAGAUGGAGAAGGAUGCAAGUUCCUACAAACUCUUCGCAACAGGUAGAUUUCUCAAACCUUGGGGAUGGUGCUAUAUGUGGUAUACCUAUUGGCUCUAGGAAUUUAAAGAAACUUCAGAUCCAUUGCUAUUAUGAGGUACUUCAUUUGCAUGACUAUUUGGUUUACCAUGUUAAACUUCAUUUAAAAAACGAAUAUUUUUGGGAUGACUCACUUUCAAAAUACUCUCUGUGUAAUGUAAUAUAGGAGAAUGACUGUAACUCAUUUUGUCUCAACACACAAUUUUACCAAUUUUUUCUUUAUCUAAAUGGCUUCUUUUGGUGAUUCCACAUUCAAAACUAAUGUUAGUCAAUAAAAUCCGAAAACCAUGAGAGUUUGAGACCGGUGAGCUACAUGAAAAUGAAUGUCAAAAUGCAGUAUUUAACUUGGUUACAGAAAUUUAUUCACUCCUAUGCAUAGGUCUACUACUCUCUUUUGAUUUGUUUCAUCGUCCAAUACCGCAUUCCCAUUCUGCACACGCAUAAAUGUGUUACGUUUUCUAUAUGCUAUGCUGUCUAUGCUAUGCUGUCUAUGCAGUUUUGGCAAAAAUUUAAAAACGUUGCUGAAGUUAAAACAUUUUUUAGUAUGUUACCCAUUUUUAUUGAGCUUGAAGAUUAAAAGUGUUUCAUCCAAAUACAGUUUUAGCAUUAGUCUUAGGUUUUUAGCCUUUUCUCUUAUCUUUUAAUUCAAUUUUUUUUCCAAUUUUUGAAAGGUGCAGAUGAUUUUGCCACAAGUUGAGGUUAUUACUGCUUGAUUUUGAUGGCUGAUUAUAUAGUUUUAUUGCAUCAGGUAUCAUUUGUUAUAUGUUAGUACUUUCUCAUGUUAUAUUCCGACCAAACUUUAUGAAAGUAUCUUUUUCUUUCCAAAAGAUUAAUUCUUUGUUGUUAAUAGUGUAUUUUUCGUUGAUCUCUCUUGAAUCCGCUUUGUUACUUUUUAUCUGUUCUGAAUCUGCUAUAGCAUAUAGUUUUUUCAAUUUGUUCUCAAUUUAGCUUAUAUGUUUGUUACAUGUUUUUAGUUGCAACAACCAUGAGCUAACAUAUGAUUCAGGCAUUCAUGUAUCCAUUUUCUAAAUUUGAUAUUUUGAUUUCUUUUGCUUUUUUAAGAUUUAUUGCAAUUUGAAUGGUAUUUUAUAACAUUGUUGGUUCUAACCUUUUUCUUUUUCUCCUUUUAGGAGUAGAAUCUUUUAAGCCAUCAUUCUUAUCUUUAUUUAUUUUUUUCUAUUUUUAAAUUUUCUUAUUAUUUGAUUCAUUAAUUAAAAUAUUUAAAAUUGUUUAGCACCCGAAUUUUCAGAUGGAUUUAAACUAUGAAUGUAAUUGAGUUUGAGUUUAGUUUUGAUCAUUUGGAAUUAGGUAUAUUUUGAAUUAUACUUAAAAAAUAAAAAAUAAGGUUAAUUUCGAAUAAUGUAUCUUUAUCUUAUAAUAAUUAUUUUGUUUUAUUUUAAUUUUUCAUAUUAGUGCAAUAAUUAGUUUUAUGCUUUGCUCAACUAAGGGACCACCCGUGGAUUUGAAAUAUGCAAUAAUUUCUAAUUUCUUAUAAAUG